Molecule: small nucleolar RNA, 211 nt
Organism: Hippopotamus amphibius kiboko
Lineage: Eukaryota; Metazoa; Chordata; Mammalia; Artiodactyla; Hippopotamidae
Product: small nucleolar RNA U3
Exons: 1
Source: RefSeq, a predicted model, not a curated record
AAGACUAUACUUUCAGGGAUCAUUUCUAUAGUUUGUUACUAGAGAAGUUUCUCUGAAUGUGUAGAGCACCCAAAGCCACAAGGAGGAGGCACAGCGUUCUCUCCUGAGUGUGAAGUUGGCUCUUGGUGUUGCUUUUGCAGCUGCCACUAGCCAUUGAUGCUUGUUCUUCUCUUCCUUUGGGAGAGUAAGAGGGAGAGAAUGUUGUCAGAGU